This is a long non-coding RNA of Trichosurus vulpecula (common brushtail), 550 nucleotides long. RefSeq lists it as uncharacterized. NCBI's taxonomy places the organism in Eukaryota, Metazoa, Chordata, Mammalia, Diprotodontia, Phalangeridae. The record is from RefSeq and is a predicted model, not a curated record. The transcript is spliced from 3 exons.
GUGGGGAACCUCUGUCCUGGUUCUUUUGUUCUAGAUUCCACUUGGUUAUACAUGAACCCUAGCAACAAAAUGGUUAUUCUUCCUCCUUGUAAAAUGAGGGGGUUGAUCCAGGUGGCCAUUAAAGUCCUUCCAGCUCUAGAUCUAGGUAUGCUACGCUUGGAUGCCAGUGAUGGUUUAUGUCUGCUCAGCUCCUCUCCUCUGCCCUCUCUACCUCGACCAAGAAGAUAAACCGAUUCAUGUGAGCAGUUGUGAAAUCCUGCCAAGCUUGGCAGACAUCAAAUAAACCUAACUUUGAAUAAGACUUUUGGAAUGGGAAUUCCUAUCUUGACUCUGACUCCCGGACUCAUCCUGCUGACUUCAGGUGGUUUUCUGGUCCUCAGCUGAUGAUGUUGCGCUUCUCUUUUCCUGCCAAUUUACUUUCUUCUGAGAUAUCCUUGUGCCCCACUACCCCAAAUUAAAGGCAGAAGAAGAUGGACCUGUCUGUUGUGGCUCCUCUGCCUUCCAUGCGGUCCAUGGAGAAAUUGCUGAAAAAUUGCCCAUCUGGCCUCAU